This is a small nuclear RNA of Saimiri boliviensis boliviensis (Bolivian squirrel monkey), 104 nucleotides long. The record is from RefSeq and is a predicted model, not a curated record. NCBI's taxonomy places the organism in Eukaryota, Metazoa, Chordata, Mammalia, Primates, Cebidae.
GUGCUCACUUCGGCAACAUAUAUACUAAAAUUGAAACGAUACGGAGAUUAGCAUGACCCCUGGGCAAGGAUGACAUGCGAAUUCAUGAAGUGUUCCAUAUUUUU